UAUCAAUUGAUACUUUUUAGUUUUUAGUUUCGACCUAAAAUUAGCUUUCAGCCUUUGAUAG
This 61-nucleotide transfer RNA is filed under the name Gnathostomula armata. Its description in RNAcentral is "tRNA-Arg". The record is from RNAcentral. Lineage: Eukaryota; Metazoa; Gnathostomulida; Bursovaginoidea; Gnathostomulidae.